AGUGAACGCUGGCGGUAGGCCUACACAUGCAAGUCGAACGGCAGCACAGUAAGAGCUUGCUCUUACGGGUGGCGAGUGGCGGACGGGUGAGGAAUACAUCGGAAUCUACUUUUUCGUGGGGGAUAACGUAGGGAAACUUACGCUAAUACCGCAUACGACCUACGGGUGAAAGCAGGGGAUCUUCGGACCUUGCGCGAUUGAAUGAGCCGAUGUCGGAUUAGCUAGUUGGCGGGGUAAAGGCCCAUCAAGGCGACGAUCCGUAGCUAGUCUGAGAGGAUGAUCAGCCACACUGGAACUGAGACACGGUCCAGACUCCUACGGGAGGCAGCAGUGGGGAAUAUUGGACAAUGGGCGCAAGCCUGAUCCAGCCAUACCGCGUGGGUGAAGAAGGCCUUCGGGUUGUAAAGCCCUUUUGUUGGGAAAGAAAAGCAGCAGGUUAAUACCCCGCUGUUCUGACGGUACCCAAAGAAUAAGCACCGGCUAACUUCGUG
Molecule: ribosomal RNA, 491 nt
Filed under: uncultured bacterium
Lineage: Bacteria
Description: partial 16S ribosomal RNA
Rfam family: Bacterial small subunit ribosomal RNA
Source: RNAcentral